This 304-nucleotide ribosomal RNA is filed under the name Porites compressa. RNAcentral describes it as "eukaryotic LSU rRNA". It matches the Rfam family "Eukaryotic large subunit ribosomal RNA", at positions 44 to 343 of the family's 3401-position model. Lineage: Eukaryota; Metazoa; Cnidaria; Anthozoa; Scleractinia; Poritidae. The record is from RNAcentral.
UAAUAAGCGGAGGAAAAGAAACUAACAAGGAUUCCCUCAGUAACGGCGAGUGAAGCGGGAAUAGCUCAAAUUUGAAAUCUCCGACGCUUGCGUCGGCGAAUUGUAGUUGCGAGAAGCACUUUCUAGGCGGAUCGGUCGUGCCUAAGUUGCUUGGAACAGUACGUCAUAGAGGGUGACAACCCCGUCUGUGGCUCGGCCGGCCGCUCACGAUGUGCUUUCGAAGAGUCGGGUUGUUUGGGAAUGCAGCCCAAAAAUGGUGGUAAACUCCAUCUAAAGCUAAAUACUGACGUGAGACCGAUAGCGA